GACAGAGGGUGCAAACGUUGUUCGGAAUUACUGGGCGUAAAGCGCGUGUAGGCUGCUUCGCAAGUCGGGCGUGAAAGCCCUGGGCUCAACCUAGGAAGUGCACUCGAAACUGCGAAGCUCGAGUCCUGGAGAGGAAGGCGGAAUUCUCGGUGUAGAGGUGAAAUUCGUAGAUAUCGAGAGGAACACUGGUGGCGAAGGCGGCCUUCUGGACAGUGACUGACGCUGAGACGCGAAAGCGUGGGGAGCAAACAGG
RNAcentral lists this ribosomal RNA (253 nucleotides) under uncultured bacterium. RNAcentral's name for it is "partial 16S ribosomal RNA". It matches the Rfam family "Bacterial small subunit ribosomal RNA", at positions 524 to 776 of the family's 1533-position model. The record is from RNAcentral.